GAACCAGUAUUGCAUAGUGGUUUGAGUGUUGGACUGCAACUCUGGAGAGCCCAGGGUUCAAAUCCCUGCUCGGCCA
Molecule: non-coding RNA, 76 nt
Organism: Phrynosoma platyrhinos (Desert horned lizard)
Lineage: Eukaryota; Metazoa; Chordata; Lepidosauria; Squamata; Phrynosomatidae
Source: the annotation of a GenBank genome assembly